RNAcentral lists this ribosomal RNA (253 nucleotides) under uncultured bacterium. RNAcentral's name for it is "partial 16S ribosomal RNA". It matches the Rfam family "Bacterial small subunit ribosomal RNA", at positions 524 to 776 of the family's 1533-position model. The record is from RNAcentral.
UACAGAGGGUGCUAGCGUUGUUCGGAAUUAUUGGGCGUAAAGGGCGCGUAGGCGGUUUCGCAUGUCCGAUGUGAAAGCCCACCUCUUAAAGGUGGAAUUGCAUCGGAAACUGCGAGACUAGAGUGCCGGAGAGGGUGGUGGAAUUCCUGGUGUAGAGGUGAAAUUCGUAGAUAUUGGGAAGAACACCGAUGGCGAAGGCAGCCAUCUGGACCGACACUGACGCUGAGGCGCGAAAGCGUGGGGAGCAAACAGG